UCUCCGUUGGUGAACCAGCGGAGGGAUCAUUACUGGAAUCGCAAGAUCCCACAACCCCUGUGAACCUACCGAAACGUUGCCUCGGCGGGCGCCCGGCCCUGCGCCGGGCGCUGAGCCCGCCGGCGGCCCCCUACUCCUUUCUCUGCAGCGUGGCAUCUCAAAAACCCAGAAAACAAGUAAAAACUUUCAACAACGGAUCUCUUGGCUCUA
RNAcentral lists this unclassified non-coding RNA (210 nucleotides) under plant metagenome. RNAcentral describes it as "partial contains small subunit ribosomal RNA, internal transcribed spacer 1, and 5.8S ribosomal RNA". The record is from RNAcentral.